Molecule: long non-coding RNA, 601 nt
Filed under: Apteryx haastii (Great spotted kiwi)
Lineage: Eukaryota; Metazoa; Chordata; Aves; Apterygiformes; Apterygidae
Description: lncRNA (ENSAHAG00000009957.1)
Source: RNAcentral
AUGGGGCGCUUCAGCCUUUCCUCCCUUGUGGAGCUUGCCCCGCUCCUGCCGCUCACGAUGCAGCUGUGCCUCAUCUACACCGUGGUGCAGCUCAACAGACUGCGGCAUCUCCAGGGGAGGACGAGAAGGCGGAGGAGCGGGCUGCGAACCGAGACGGAGGAGCAGAGAGUUUUUCUCAUGGUGAAGGAAGAGCGGGCAGAGUCGUCGCUGACCCUCGAGAGGCGGUUGAGCAUGGAGGCAUCGGCCGUCUUCUCCUUCCCGCUGCGGGCACCACUGGCCUCCUUCGACUCCAGCCUGCUGGGCACAAGCAGCUCCUCCUCGCUGGCCUCCUUAUCCUCCUUGCUGGAGGGAGCCACGGUGCUGACUACCACCGCCGAGGCUCUGCUCCCGUGCCCUGGGACCGGCGGGAUGCAGCUGGAGGAGGCGGCAGCUCUCCCAGCUGUGGGGCUGGAUCCGGCCUGCGUGGUGCCCGAGGGAAUGGCGGCACUGGGUCCUUCCCCUUGGCAUGCUGCUGGCCCAGGGAUGGAGAGGAGGGACGUGCAACCGCUGGCCACCCCCAAGCUGCGGCCCCGCUCGAGCACCCCGCUGCGCCGAGGGUCAC